This 389-nucleotide ribosomal RNA is filed under the name Escherichia coli. RNAcentral describes it as "partial 23S ribosomal RNA". It matches the Rfam family "Bacterial large subunit ribosomal RNA", at positions 1917 to 2305 of the family's 2925-position model. Lineage: Bacteria; Pseudomonadati; Pseudomonadota; Gammaproteobacteria; Enterobacterales; Enterobacteriaceae. The record is from RNAcentral.
GCCCCGGUAAACGGCGGCCGUAACUAUAACGGUCCUAAGGUAGCGAAAUUCCUUGUCGGGUAAGUUCCGACCUGCACGAAUGGCGUAAUGAUGGCCAGGCUGUCUCCACCCGAGACUCAGUGAAAUUGAACUCGCUGUGAAGAUGCAGUGUACCCGCGGCAAGACGGAAAGACCCCGUGAACCUUUACUAUAGCUUGACACUGAACAUUGAGCCUUGAUGUGUAGGAUAGGUGGGAGGCUUUGAAGUGUGGACGCCAGUCUGCAUGGAGCCGACCUUGAAAUACCACCCUUUAAUGUUUGAUGUUCUAACGUUGGCCCGUAAUCCGGGUUGCGGACAGUGUCUGGUGGGUAGUUUGACUGGGGCGGUCUCCUCCUAAAGAGUAACGGAG